Molecule: unclassified non-coding RNA, 334 nt
Filed under: soil metagenome
Description: partial contains 5.8S ribosomal RNA, internal transcribed spacer 2, and large subunit ribosomal RNA
Rfam family: 5.8S ribosomal RNA (bases 1-120)
Source: RNAcentral
GAUGAAGAACGUAGCGAAAUGCGAUAAGUAGUGUGAAUUGCAGAAUUCAGUGAAUCAUCGAAUCUUUGAACGCACAUUGCGCCCCUUGGUAUUCCAUGGGGCAUGCCUGUUCGAGCGUCAUUUGUACCUUCAAGCUUUGCUUGGUGUUGGGUGUUUGUCCAUUCUCUUGCAGAGGGACUCGCCUUAAAGUAAUUGGCAGCCAGUGUUUUGGUUUUGAAGCGCAGCACAAGUCGCGAUUGAAAGCUAUACGCCCGCUUCCACAAGCCUUUUUCACUUUUGACCUCGGAUCAGGUAGGGAUACCCGCUGAACUUAAGCAUAUCAAUAAGCGGAGGA